RNAcentral lists this ribosomal RNA (495 nucleotides) under uncultured bacterium. Its description in RNAcentral is "partial 16S ribosomal RNA". It matches the Rfam family "Bacterial small subunit ribosomal RNA", at positions 28 to 507 of the family's 1533-position model. The record is from RNAcentral.
GACGAACGCUGGCGGCGUGCCUAAUACAUGCAAGUAGAACGCUGAAGGAGGAGCUUGCUCUUCUGGAUGAGUUGCGAACGGGUGAGUAACGCGUAGGUAACCUGCCUGGUAGCGGGGGAUAACUAUUGGAAACGAUAGCUAAUACCGCAUAAGAGUAGAUGUUGCAUGACAUUUACUUAAAAGGUGCAAUUGCAUCACUACCAGAUGGACCUGCGUUGUAUUAGCUAGUUGGUGGGGUAACGGCUUACCAAGGCGACGAUACAUAGCCGACCUGAGAGGGGGAUCGGCCACACUGGGACUGAGACACGGCCCAGACUCCUACGGGAGGCAGCAGUAGGGAAUCUUCGGCAAUGGACGGAAGUCUGACCGAGCAACGCCGCGUGAGUGAAGAAGGUUGUCGGAUCGUAAAGAUCUGUUGUAAGAGAAGAACGAGUGUGAGAGUGGAAAGUUCACACUGUGACGGUAUCUUACCAGAAAGGGACGGCUAACUACGUG